This 498-nucleotide ribosomal RNA is filed under the name uncultured bacterium. Its description in RNAcentral is "partial 16S ribosomal RNA". It matches the Rfam family "Bacterial small subunit ribosomal RNA", at positions 29 to 523 of the family's 1533-position model. The record is from RNAcentral.
AUUGAACGCUGGCGGCAUGCUUUACACAUGCAAGUCGAACGGUAACAGGCCGCAAGGUGCUGACGAGUGGCGAACGGGUGAGUAAUGCAUCGGAACGUGCCCAGUCGUGGGGGAUAACGCAGCGAAAGCUGUGCUAAUACCGCAUACGAUCGAUGGAUGAAAGCGGGGCACCGUAAGGCCUCGCGCGAUUGGAGCGGCCGGUGUCAGAUUAGGUAGUUGGUGGGGUAAAGGCCUACCAAGCCGACGAUCUGUAGCUGGUCUGAGAGGACGACCAGCCACACUGGGACUGAGACACGGCCCAGACUCCUACGGGAGGCAGCAGUGGGGAAUUUUGGACAAUGGGCGCAAGCCUGAUCCAGCAAUGCCGCGUGCAGGAAGAAGGCCUUCGGGUUGUAAACUGCUUUUGUACGGAACGAAACGGUCUGGGUUAAUACCCUGGGCUAAUGACGGUACCGUAAGAAUAAGCACCGGCUAACUACGUGCCAGCCGCCGCGGUAA